GACGAACGCUGGCGGCGUGCUUAACACAUGCAAGUCGAACGGAAAGGCCCUGCUUUUGUGGGGUGCUCGAGUGGCGAACGGGUGAGUAACACGUGAGUAACCUGCCCUUGACUUUGGGAUAACUUCAGGAAACUGGGGCUAAUACCGGAUAGGAGCUCCUGCUGCAUGGUGGGGGUUGGAAAGUUUCGGCGGUUGGGGAUGGACUCGCGGCUUAUCAGCUUGUUGGUGGGGUAGUGGCUUACCAAGGCUUUGACGGGUAGCCGGCCUGAGAGGGUGACCGGCCACAUUGGUACUGAGAUACGGCCCAGACGCCUACGGGAGGCAGCAGUGGGGAAUAUUGCACAAUGGGCGGAAGCCUGAUGCAGCAACGCCGCGUGCGGGAUGACGGCCUUCGGGUUGUAAACCGCUUUCGCCUGUGACGAAGCGUGAGUGACGGUAAUGGGUAAAGAAGCACCGGCUAACUACGUG
RNAcentral lists this ribosomal RNA (468 nucleotides) under uncultured bacterium. Its description in RNAcentral is "partial 16S ribosomal RNA". It matches the Rfam family "Bacterial small subunit ribosomal RNA", at positions 28 to 507 of the family's 1533-position model. The record is from RNAcentral.